GGCCCCGUAGCUCAGUAUGGACAGAGCGGCGGCCUGCGAAGCCGUAGGUCGUGGGUUCAAAUCCCACCGGGGCCG
Molecule: transfer RNA, 75 nt
Filed under: Vulcanisaeta souniana JCM 11219
Lineage: Archaea; Thermoproteati; Thermoproteota; Thermoprotei; Thermoproteales; Thermoproteaceae
Description: tRNA-Arg
Rfam family: tRNA
About the family: Transfer RNA (tRNA) molecules are approximately 80 nucleotides in length. Their secondary structure includes four short double-helical elements and three loops (D, anti-codon, and T loops).
Source: RNAcentral